RNAcentral lists this ribosomal RNA (254 nucleotides) under uncultured bacterium. RNAcentral describes it as "partial 16S ribosomal RNA". It matches the Rfam family "Bacterial small subunit ribosomal RNA", at positions 524 to 776 of the family's 1533-position model. The record is from RNAcentral.
GACGUAGGGCGCGAGCGUUGUCCGGAUUUAUUGGGCGUAAAGAGCUCGUAGGCGGCUCAGUAAGUCGGGUGUGAAAACUCCAGGCUCAACCUGGAGACGCCACCUGAUACUGCUGUGGCUAGAGUCCGGUAGGGGAGCAUGGAAUUCCUGGUGUAGCGGUGAAAUGCGCAGAUAUCAGGAGGAACACCAGUGGCGAAGGCGGUGCUCUGGGCCGGAACUGACGCUGAGGCACGAAAGCGUGGGGAGCAAACAGG